RNAcentral lists this ribosomal RNA (498 nucleotides) under uncultured bacterium. RNAcentral describes it as "bacterial SSU rRNA". It matches the Rfam family "Bacterial small subunit ribosomal RNA", at positions 899 to 1397 of the family's 1533-position model. The record is from RNAcentral.
ACUCAAAUGAAUUGACGGGGGCCCGCACAAGCGGUGGAGCAUGUGGUUUAAUUCGAUGCAACGCGAAGAACCUUACCAAGGCUUGACAUGGAGAAGAAAACACUAGAGAUAGUGUCCCUCUUCGGAGCUUCUCACACAGGUGGUGCAUGGUUGUCGUCAGCUCGUGUCGUGAGAUGUUGGGUUAAGUCCCGCAACGAGCGCAACCCCCGCCCUUAGUUGCCAGCAAGUAAUGUUGGGCGCUCUAGGGGGACCGCCGCGGAGAACGCGGAGGAAGGCGGGGACGACGUCAAAUCAUCAUGCCCCUUAUGUCUUGGGCCACACACGUGCUACAAUGGUUCGAACAGAGUGACGCGAAGCCGCGAGGCGGAGCAAAACACAAAAACGAGCCCCAGUUCGGAUUGCGGGCUGCAACCCGCCCGCAUGAAGUUGGAAUCGCUAGUAAUCGCGGAUCAGCACGCCGCGGUGAAUACGUUCCCGGGCCUUGUACACACCGCCCGU